GGGGCUGACCUGGUUUCGACGGGAUCAAGUAGCUUUUAACUGCAUGUCGGACUGAGCAUUUCCGUUAUACGGCUCAAAAUUGCUUAAACGCAAACAAUACAAAUUACCGCCCAGCUUACGCAGUAGCAUAAGUUUUACCCCCUCUUAGAGGACGGGCUGCUUCACCUAUGGACUCUAGAUAAAUAGGAUUCGAAGUAUAACCCCUAUGUAGAUAUACUAUAUGUCCGCCUCGUGCAUAUAAUGAACCCUAGAGGAUCGUCUUGUGUAGCUUUGCAAGUUGUGUGAAGCAAGAUUAAACUUAAACGGCUUUUCUAAGCAUGUAGACGUUAGGAGUAGCGUGGUUUCGGACUGGAGUUCGAUUCUCCACAGCUCCACCA
RNAcentral lists this transfer-messenger RNA (377 nucleotides) under Candidatus Sulfurimonas marisnigri. It matches the Rfam family "transfer-messenger RNA". Rfam says of the family: Bacterial tmRNA, also known as 10Sa RNA or SsrA, is named for its dual tRNA and mRNA-like properties. The record is from Rfam by way of RNAcentral. Lineage: Bacteria; Pseudomonadati; Campylobacterota; Epsilonproteobacteria; Campylobacterales; Sulfurimonadaceae. RNAcentral also lists the same sequence under 1 other name.